GCGCUGCCCUCGCCACGCACGCGCUCCCGCCUUGCGAGCGUGUAUGAAACGGGCGGCGCGCACCUGUGCGUAUUUCUGCGGACCAUAUCGGAAUGGAAUUUAGUGUAAAGGGGCUGUGUGCUGAGAAGCACUAAAGCAGGACAUUUCAAAUGUCUCACAGAGCAACAGCCUCCCACUGUCCCUGGCUGACCGCUGGCAGGUUGCCACAGUUGUGAGUCUAUGCCAAGUCCACCAGAACUCUUCU
Molecule: long non-coding RNA, 244 nt
Filed under: Scleropages formosus (Asian bonytongue)
Lineage: Eukaryota; Metazoa; Chordata; Actinopteri; Osteoglossiformes; Osteoglossidae
Description: lncRNA (ENSSFOG00015024588.1)
Source: RNAcentral